GACGGACGCUGGCGGCGUGCUUAACACAUGCAAGUCGAACGGAAAGGCCCCAGCUUGCUGGGGUACUCGAGUGGCGAACGGGUGAGUAACACGUGGGUGAUCUGCCCUGCACUCUGGGAUAAGCCUGGGAAACUGGGUCUAAUACCGGAUAGGACCGUGCUUUAGUGUGUGCGGUGGAAAGUUUUUCGGUGCAGGAUGAGCGCGCGGCCUAUCAGCUUGUUGGUGGGGUAAUGGCCGACCAAGGCGGCGACGGGUAGCCGGCCUGAGAGGGUGUACGGCCACAUGGGGACUGAGAGACGGCCCAGACGGCUACGGGAGGCAACGGGGGGGAGUAUGGCACAAUGGGCGCGAGCCUGAUGCAGCGACGCCGGGUGGGGGAUGACGGCCUUCGGGUUGUAAACCGCUUUCGGCAGGGACGAAGCUUUUGUGACGGUACCUGCAUAAGAAGCACCGGCUAACUACGUG
This 465-nucleotide ribosomal RNA is filed under the name uncultured bacterium. Its description in RNAcentral is "partial 16S ribosomal RNA". It matches the Rfam family "Bacterial small subunit ribosomal RNA", at positions 28 to 507 of the family's 1533-position model. The record is from RNAcentral.